This 423-nucleotide ribosomal RNA is filed under the name uncultured bacterium. RNAcentral describes it as "bacterial SSU rRNA". It matches the Rfam family "Bacterial small subunit ribosomal RNA", at positions 361 to 775 of the family's 1533-position model. The record is from RNAcentral.
AUCUUCCGCAAUGGACGAAAGUCUGACGGAGCAACGCCGCGCGAGUGAUGAAGGCUUUCGGGUCGUAAAACUCUGUUGUUAGGGAAGAACAAGUGCUAGUGGAAUAAGCUGGCACCUUGACGGUACCUAACCAGAAAGCCACGGCUAACUACGUGCCACCAGCCGAGGUCAUACGUAGGUGGCAAGCGUUAUCCGGAAUUAUUGGGCGUAAAGCGCGAGGAGGUGGUUUCUUAAGUCUGAUGUGAAAGCCCACGGCUCAACCGUGGAGGGUCAUUGGAAACUGGGAGACUUGAGUGCAGAAGAGGAAAGUGGAAUUCCAUGUGUAGCGGUGAAAUGCGUAGAGAUAUGGAGGAGCACCAGUGGCGAAGGCGACUUUCUGGUCUGUAACUGACACUGAGGCGCGAAAGCGUGGGGAGCAAACAG